CAUGCAUGUCUCAGUACAAACCGCUUUAAGGCGAAACCGCGAAUGGCUCAUUAAAUCAGUUAUGGUUCCUUGGAUCUUACCCACACUUACAUGGAUAACUGUGGUAAUUCUAGAGCUAAUACAUGAAUCUCGUACCCCGACCAGUGAUGGAAGGGGUGCUUUUAUUAGAACAAAACCAAUCGGUCGGUCUUCCGUCCGUUGCCUUGGUGACUCUGAAUAACUUUUGGCUGAUCGCACGGUCGUUGCACCGGCGACGCAUCUUUCAAAUGUCUGCCUUAUCAACUUUCGAUGGUAGGUUCUGCGCCUACCAUGGUUGUAACGGGUGACGGGGAAUCAGGGUUCGAUCCCGGAGAGGGAGCCUGAGAAACGGCUACCACAUCCAAGGAAGGCAGCAGGCGCGCAAAUUACCCACUCCCGGAACGGGGAGGUAGUGACGAAAAAUAACGAUACGGGACUCAUCCGAGGCCCCGUAAUCGGAAUGAGAACACUUUAAAUCCUUUAACGAGGAUCUAUUGGAGGGCAAGUCUGGUGCCAGCAGCCGCGGUAAUUCCAGCUCCAAUAGCGUAUAUUAAAGUUGUUGCGGUUAAAAAGCUCGUAGUCGGAGGUGUGUCUCGGACGGUCGGUUCGCCGCUUGUCGGUGCUCAACUGGCCGGUCCGGACGUCCUGCCGGUGGGGCCGCGAGGCUCCGUUAUCCUUCUUUGGUCCUCUUCACCGAGUGCCUUGGUGGGCCGGCACGUUUACUUUGAACAAAUUAGAGUGCUCAAAGCAGGCCGUUGGUCGCCUGAAUACUGUGUGCAUGGAAUAAUGGAAUAGGACCUCGGUUCCAUUUUGUUGGUUUUCAGAACUCGAGGUAAUGAUUAAUAGGGACGGACGGGGGCAUC
Molecule: ribosomal RNA, 881 nt
Filed under: Neurobasis chinensis
Lineage: Eukaryota; Metazoa; Arthropoda; Insecta; Odonata; Calopterygidae
Description: SSU rRNA
Rfam family: Eukaryotic small subunit ribosomal RNA
Source: RNAcentral